UACAGAGGGUGCGAGCGUUGUCCGGAAUCACUGGGCGUAAAGGGCGCGUAGGUGGCGACCCAAGUCGAUGGUGAAAGCUCGCCGCUCAACGGCGAGUCGGCCACUGAUACUGGGUUGCUGGAGCACUGUAGAGGCAGAUGGAAUUCCGGGUGUAGCGGUGGAAUGCGUAGAGAUCCGGAAGAACACCGGUGGCGAAGGCGGUUCUCUGGGCAUGACCUGACGCUGAGGAGCGAAAGUGUGGGGGAGCGAACAGG
Molecule: ribosomal RNA, 254 nt
Filed under: uncultured bacterium
Lineage: Bacteria
Description: partial 16S ribosomal RNA
Rfam family: Bacterial small subunit ribosomal RNA
Source: RNAcentral